AACGCACAUUGCGCCCCUUGGUAUUCCGGGGGGCAUGCCUGUUCGAGCGUCAUUACACCCCUCAAGCCUGGCUUGGUCUUGGGCUCCGCCGUUCGUUCGGCGGGCCUUAAAAUCAGUGGCGGUGCCUCCGCGGCCCUGAGCGCAGUAAAUUUCCUCGCUUUUGGACCCGGUGGUUACUGGCCAGCAACCCCCAACCUCUAAGUUUGACCUCGGAUCAGGUAGGGAUACCCGCUGAACUUAA
RNAcentral lists this unclassified non-coding RNA (241 nucleotides) under uncultured fungus. Its description in RNAcentral is "sequence contains ITS2". Lineage: Eukaryota; Fungi. The record is from RNAcentral.